UGGGGAAUAUUGCGCAAUGGGCGAAAGCCUGACGCAGCGACGCCGCGUGAGGGAUGACGGCCUUCGGGUUGUAAACCUCUUUCAGCAGGGAAGAAGCGAAAGUGACGGUACCUGCAGAAGAAGCACCGGCUAACUACGUGCCAGCAGCCGCGGUAAUACGUAGGGUGCAAGCGUUGUCCGGAAUUAUUGGGCGUAAAGAGCUCGUAGGCGGUCUGUCGCGUCGGAUGUGAAAAUCCAGGGCUCAACCCUGGACCUGCAUUCGAUACGGGCAGACUAGAGUUCGGUAGGGGAGACUGGAACUCCUGGUGUAGCGGUGAAAUGCGCAGAUAUCAGGAGGAACACCGGUGGCGAAGGCGGAUCUCUGGGCCGAUACUGACGCUGAGGAGCGAAAGCAUGGGGAGCGAAC
Molecule: ribosomal RNA, 406 nt
Filed under: uncultured bacterium
Lineage: Bacteria
Description: bacterial SSU rRNA
Rfam family: Bacterial small subunit ribosomal RNA
Source: RNAcentral